UACGUAGGGUGCAAACGUUAUCCGGAUUUACUGGGCGUAAAGAGCUCGUAGGUGGUUUGAAAAGUUGGAUAUGAAAGACCCAGGCUCAACUUGGGGAACGUAUCCAAAACUCUCUUACUAGAGGUAUGCAGGGGAAGAUGGAACACACGGUGUAGCAGUGAAAUGCGUAGAUAUCGUGUGGAGCGCCAAUGGUGAAGACAGUCUUCUGGGCAUUACCUGACACUGAGGAGCGAAAGCGUGGGGAGCGAACAGG
Molecule: ribosomal RNA, 253 nt
Filed under: uncultured bacterium
Lineage: Bacteria
Description: partial 16S ribosomal RNA
Rfam family: Bacterial small subunit ribosomal RNA
Source: RNAcentral